Molecule: ribosomal RNA, 958 nt
Filed under: Salmonella enterica
Lineage: Bacteria; Pseudomonadati; Pseudomonadota; Gammaproteobacteria; Enterobacterales; Enterobacteriaceae
Also listed under: 1 other name
Description: partial 23S ribosomal RNA
Rfam family: Bacterial large subunit ribosomal RNA
Source: RNAcentral
GAAACCGAGUCUUAACCGGGCGUUAAGUUGCAGGGUAUAGACCCGAAACCCGGUGAUCUAGCCAUGGGCAGGUUGAAGGUUGGGUAACACUAACUGGAGGACCGAACCGACUAAUGUUGAAAAAUUAGCGGAUGACCUGUGGCUGGGGGUGAAAGGCCAAUCAAACCGGGAGAUAGCUGGUUCUCCCCGAAAGCUAUUUAGGUAGCGCCUCGUGAAUUCAUCUCCGGGGGUAGAGCACUGUUUCGGCUAGGGGGCCAUCCCGGCUUACCAACCCGAUGCAAACUGCGAAUACCGGAGAAUGUUAUCACGGGAGACACACGGCGGGUGCUAACGUCCGUCGUGAAGAGGGAAACAACCCAGACCGCCAGCUAAGGUCCCAAAGUCAUGGUUAAGUGGGAAACGAUGUGGGAAGGCCCAGACAGCCAGGAUGUUGGCUUAGAAGCAGCCAUCAUUUAAAGAAAGCGUAAUAGCUCACUGGUCGAGUCGGCCUGCGCGGAAGAUGUAACGGGGCUAAACCAUGCACCGAAGCUGCGGCAGCGAACGUAUCACCCAAGACAACUUUACGGAGUUGACGAUUGACGGAGCGAAGCGACGUCAAAGCGUUCAUUAAAGUCGAGUUGGCUUAGGGAUACGUUCGUUGGGUAGGGGAGCGUUCUGUAAGCCUGUGAAGGUGUGUCGUGAGGCAUGCUGGAGGUAUCAGAAGUGCGAAUGCUGACAUAAGUAACGAUAAAGCGGGUGAAAAGCCCGCUCGCCGGAAGACCAAGGGUUCCUGUCCAACGUUAAUCGGGGCAGGGUGAGUCGACCCCUAAGGCGAGGCCGAAAGGCGUAGUCGAUGGGAAACGGGUUAAUAUUCCCGUACUUGGUGUUACUGCGAAGGGGGGACGGAGAAGGCUAUGUUGGCCGGGCGACGGUUGUCCCGGUUUAAGCGUGUAGGUGUGUGUUCCAGGUAAAUCCGGUU